AACAUUUUCAAUAGAUUCAAACAUUUUUUAUAAGUUUAUAGUCUGGUGUGAAUAAAUACAAACUUUUCUACAAUAUAAUAACCAAUCAAGCAACUACUUCAUUAAAUUUGGGUGUACAUAUAUCUCUUUAAAAACUUUUUGAG
Long non-coding RNA from Octopus sinensis (East Asian common octopus), 143 nucleotides. RefSeq lists it as uncharacterized. The transcript is spliced from 3 exons. The record is from RefSeq and is a predicted model, not a curated record. NCBI's taxonomy places the organism in Eukaryota, Metazoa, Mollusca, Cephalopoda, Octopoda, Octopodidae.